UACGAAGGGAGCUAGCGUUGUUCGGAAUCACUGGGCGUAAAGCGCACGUAGGCGGAUGUGUCAGUCAGGGGUGAAAUCCCGGAGCUCAACUUCGGAACUGCCCUUGAUACAGCACGUCUUGAGUCCGGAAGAGGUGGGUGGAAUUCCUAGUGUAGAGGUGAAAUUCGUAGAUAUUAGGAAGAACACCGGUGGCGAAGGCGGCGACCUGGUCCGAUACUGACGCUGAGGCGCGAAAGCGUGGGGAGCAAACAGG
This 253-nucleotide ribosomal RNA is filed under the name uncultured bacterium. Its description in RNAcentral is "partial 16S ribosomal RNA". It matches the Rfam family "Bacterial small subunit ribosomal RNA", at positions 524 to 776 of the family's 1533-position model. The record is from RNAcentral.